RNAcentral lists this unclassified non-coding RNA (378 nucleotides) under Hevea brasiliensis (rubber tree). Lineage: Eukaryota; Viridiplantae; Streptophyta; Magnoliopsida; Malpighiales; Euphorbiaceae. The record is from RNAcentral.
UGGAGUUUCCACAAAAUAUUUCAAUGCUUUUGUCUUAAGGCCACUAAAGACAGAUUCAAUAUCGAUGGUCUCCUCCGAGGACGGGUAGUCUUAAAAGUAAAUGUAGACGCUUCUUAUGACUACUGCUCUGCCAAAGCUAGAUAUGGUGUUCUUGUUCGUAAUUCAGAUGGAUGUUUGUUAAAUGGUUGUGCAGAUUCCUUCAUCUCUUUAUCUCCACUCCCUGUAGAGGCAUUGCACUGAGAGCUGCCCUGUCUCUUUUCAGUAGUGGAAACAUUCAUUCUUGCGUUAUUAAUCAGAUUCUCUUCAGCUUUGUGAUUUGUUGUCUGCUCCACAAGACUCCAUCCCCUGGCAUUUGUGGCUGUCAUUCCUGAUAUCAAA